RNAcentral lists this ribosomal RNA (305 nucleotides) under uncultured bacterium. RNAcentral's name for it is "bacterial SSU rRNA". It matches the Rfam family "Bacterial small subunit ribosomal RNA", at positions 338 to 639 of the family's 1533-position model. The record is from RNAcentral.
CCUACGGGGGGCAGCAGUGAGGAAUAUUGGUCAAUGGGCGCGAGCCUGAACCAGCCAAGUCGCGUGAGGGAUGACGGUCCUACGGAUUGUAAACCUCUUUUGCCGGGGAGCAAGCGUGCGUUCGUGAACGCGCGUCGAGAGUACCCGGAGAAAAAGCAUCGGCUAACUCCAUGCCAGCAGCCGCGGUAAUACGGAGGAUUCAAGCGUUAUCCGGAUUUAUUGGGUUUAAAGGGUGCGUAGGCGGUUCGAUAAGUUAGAGGUGAAAUCCCGGGGCUCAACUCCGGCACUGCCUCUGAUACUGUCGG